AGGGCUUGACAUGUAGGGAAAAGCCGUGGAGACACGGUGUCCGCAAGGGCCCUACACAGCCAUGCACCACCUGUAUACCGACCUUGCGGGGGCUACAUCUCUGCAGCUUUCCGGCAUAUGUCAAGCCUUGGUAAGGUUCUUCGCGUUGCUUCGAAUUGAGCAACAUCCUCCACCGCUUGUGUGAGCCCCCGUCAAUUCCUUUGAGUUUCAGCCUUGCGACCAUACUCCCCAGGCGGGGCACUUAAUGGAUUUCCGUCAGCAGCGACCGGUCGGAUCCGGCCGCUACCUAGUGCCCAUCGUUUACGGCGUGGACUAC
This 316-nucleotide unclassified non-coding RNA is filed under the name uncultured bacterium. Its description in RNAcentral is "contains 16S-23S intergenic spacer region". The record is from RNAcentral.